Molecule: ribosomal RNA, 503 nt
Filed under: Metarhizium anisopliae
Lineage: Eukaryota; Fungi; Ascomycota; Sordariomycetes; Hypocreales; Clavicipitaceae
Description: eukaryotic LSU rRNA
Rfam family: 5.8S ribosomal RNA (bases 142-295)
Source: RNAcentral
UCAUUACCGAGUUAUCCAACUCCCAACCCCUGUGAAUCAUACCUUUAAUUGUUGCUUCGGCGGGACUUCGCGCCCGCCGGGGACCCGAACCUUCUGAAUUUUUUAAUAAGUAUCUUCUGAGUGGUUAAAAAAAUGAAUCAAAACUUUCAACAACGGAUCUCUUGGUUCUGGCAUCGAUGAAGAACGCAGCGAAAUGCGAUAAGUAAUGUGAAUUGCAGAAUUCAGUGAAUCAUCGAAUCUUUGAACGCACAUUGCGCCCGUCAGUAUUCUGGCGGGCAUGCCUGUUCGAGCGUCAUUACGCCCCUCAAGUCCCCUGUGGACUUGGUGUUGGGGAUCGGCGAGGCUGGUUUUCCAGCACAGCCGUCCCUUAAAUUAAUUGGCGGUCUCGCCGUGGCCCUCCUCUGCGCAGUAGUAAAACACUCGCAACAGGAGCCCGGCGCGGGUCCACUGCCGUAAAACCCCCCAACUUUUUUAUAGUUGACCCUCGGAAUCAGGUAGGACUA